CUAAGUAUAAACUGUUUAUACAAGUGAACUGCGAAUGGCUCAUUAAAUCAGUUAAAAUUUAUUUGAUAGUACCCAAUUACUACUUGGAUAACCGUGGUAAUUCUAGAGCUAAUACAUGCCUUGAAAGUCCUGACCUUUACCGGAAGGGAUGCAGUUAUUAGAUACAAAACCAAUUUAGAGCAAUCUAAUUCUUUGGUGAUUCAUAAUAAUCUUGCAAAUCGCAUUUGGCUUUAAUGCCGGCGAUGGGUCAUUCAAUUUUCUGCCCUAUCAACUUUUGACGGUAGGAUAGAGGCCUACCGUGGUGAUAACGGGUAACGGGGAAUUAGGGUUCGAUUCCGGAGAGGGAGCCUGAGAAACGGCUACCACAUCCAAGGAAGGCAGCAGGCGCGCAAAUUACCCAAUCCUGAUACAGGGAGGUAGUGACAAUAAAUAACGAUGCGGAACCUUUAUGGUUUUCGCAAUUGGAAUGAGUACAAUUUAAACCCCUUAACGAGGAACAAUUGGAGGGCAAGUCUGGUGCCAGCAGCCGCGGUAAUUCCAGCUCCAAGAGCGUAUAUUAAUACUGCUGCAGUUAAAAAGCUCGUAGUUGAAUUUCAAGGACCUUUUUUGCGCGAGGCCGCUAUCUUAUUUAUAAGUAGCGCGUUUUUUUCCGAGCGCGGGUCUUUUUUUACUUGUUGAGCGCCCUUGGUUGCAUGCAAAUGUGAUCAAGUGUUUUGUGCUCAACACUUUUACUUUGAAAAAAUUAGAGUGUUCAAAGCAGGCUUUUUUAAGCCUGAAUAUCUUAGCAUGGAAUAAUAAAAUAGGACUUUGGUUCUAUUUUGUUGGUUUCUAGGACUAGAGUAAUGAUUAAUAGGGAUAGUUGGGGGCAUUAGUAUUUAAUUGUCAGAGGUGAAAUUCUUGGAUUUAGGAAAGACUAACUUCUGCGAAAGCAUUUGCCAAGGAUGUUUUCAUUAAUCAAGAACGAAAGUUAAGGGAUCGAAGAUGAUUAGAUACCAUCGUAGUCUUAACCAUAAACGAUGCCGACCAGGGAUCGGUCGCUUGUAGUUUUUUUAAAAAGACACGUCCGGCACCUUUUGAGAAAUCAAAGUCUUUGGGUCUGGGGG
Molecule: ribosomal RNA, 1103 nt
Filed under: Blastocladiella britannica
Lineage: Eukaryota; Fungi; Blastocladiomycota; Blastocladiomycetes; Blastocladiales; Blastocladiaceae
Description: SSU rRNA
Rfam family: Eukaryotic small subunit ribosomal RNA
Source: RNAcentral